AACGUAGGAGACGAGCGUUAUCCGGAUUUACUGGGCGUAAAGCGUGUGCAGGCGGUUCGGCAAGUUGGAUGUGAAAUCUCCCGGCUCAACUGGGAGGGGUCGUUCAAUACUACCGAACUUGAGGUCAUCAGAGGAGGAUGGAAUUCCCGGUGUAGUGGUGAAAUGCGUAGAUAUCGGGAGGAACACCAGUGGCGAAGGCGGUCUUCUGGGAUGAUCCUGACGCUCAGACACGAAAGCUAGGGGAGCGAACGGG
Molecule: ribosomal RNA, 253 nt
Filed under: uncultured bacterium
Lineage: Bacteria
Description: partial 16S ribosomal RNA
Rfam family: Bacterial small subunit ribosomal RNA
Source: RNAcentral